CUUCCUCGGCCUGCUGCGGCGCAAUGAAGUGAAUAUGCGUGUCUAUCCCGCCGGCGGUGAGGAUCUUGCCCUCGCCCGCGAUGACAUCUGUGGCGGGACCGACGACUAUAUCGACGCCCGGCUGGAUAUCGGGAUUUCCGGCCUUGCCGAUCCCCCCCGAAAUACGGCCGUUCUUGAUGCCGACAUCGGCUUUGAUGMUGACCCCCCAAUAGUACGAGGAUGAUGACAUUGGUGAUGACGAGAUCGGCUGUUUCGGCAGCAGGUCUCUGUCCCUGCCCCCCCAUGCCAUCGCGGAU
This 296-nucleotide small RNA is filed under the name Brucella intermedia 229E. RNAcentral's name for it is "Ochrobactrum intermedium 229E 5' ureB small RNA". It matches the Rfam family "5' ureB small RNA". The record is from Rfam by way of RNAcentral. Lineage: Bacteria; Pseudomonadati; Pseudomonadota; Alphaproteobacteria; Hyphomicrobiales; Brucellaceae.